This 24-nucleotide non-coding RNA is filed under the name Rattus norvegicus (Norway rat). Lineage: Eukaryota; Metazoa; Chordata; Mammalia; Rodentia; Muridae. The record is from RNAcentral.
AAUUUCCAUGGGCCGUUUAGUAAU